UCCCAGGACUGUGUCUCCUGGAGCUGAGGACCCCCCACACCUGGAGGAGGGGCCCUGCUCUGCUCACACACCUGGUGCUCACUCCAGUCUCUGCUCCCCAGGUUACAGCUGCCCCCACAACUCUGCCUCUCAGGUCCCCCUGCACGACUCCAGGGCAGCCGUUCCCAUCUAUGAGGAACUUCUAAACCGUGACACAAACAUUUAUUGUCAGAUCAACCACAAAGCAGAAGUUGCUCCAUACUUUCCCCAAGGAACUUGGGCAGCUGAGGGGAGGGGCCACGUGACCCACAGAGGCUGGGAAGGAGCUGAGCCUGUGCCCAAGGUUCAGCUCUGAGCCCAGGGAGCCACUGGGUGCUCGGGGUGGGGGCAGGUCCCUCCUGGACUCCUAGAGACCCAGAGAGGCUGCCCUGAGCUCAGGCUCAGCCAGGACAAAAUCCUCCCUUCCCAACCCUUAUGGGAUUGGGGGUCUUCCAGGAAAGUGAAAGGAGCCUGUGCCCCACCAUGGAUUACUUGGA
This 515-nucleotide long non-coding RNA is filed under the name Dasypus novemcinctus (nine-banded armadillo). Its description in RNAcentral is "lncRNA (ENSDNOG00000050474.1)". The record is from RNAcentral. Lineage: Eukaryota; Metazoa; Chordata; Mammalia; Cingulata; Dasypodidae.